GUUUCCAGAUAUUUGCACAUACAGAGGCAAAGAGAUUCCAAAGACAGGAUACUUAUAUUUAGACGACAAUUGUGAAAGGGUUUCAUGCCGUAAUCAUGCCCCCUUUAUUGAAAGGUGCCCCAAACCAAAUCAUGAAGAAUUUGGAAGCUGUGUAUACACUCGUAAGCCAGGUCACUACCCGGCGUGCUGCAAAUGGGAGCGCACAUGUUAGUAGCAGAUGCAGAUAUUAUAUUAUAUUUCGGAAAUUGUUUACAGCUGUCUUGGUACACCCUGUGUGCAAUCGGAAGGGAUUUGGCUGAAUAAAUAAAUAAUAUAUUUUACCCUCA
Non-coding RNA from Dermacentor andersoni, 326 nucleotides. Lineage: Eukaryota; Metazoa; Arthropoda; Arachnida; Ixodida; Ixodidae. The record is from RefSeq and is a predicted model, not a curated record.